Henosepilachna vigintioctopunctata is the source of this 78-nucleotide non-coding RNA. NCBI's taxonomy places the organism in Eukaryota, Metazoa, Arthropoda, Insecta, Coleoptera, Coccinellidae. The record is from the annotation of a GenBank genome assembly.
UCCAUUGUGGCUUAGUCGGUAGAACAUCCGACUAUUAUGCGGUAGAACUCGGGUUCGAGCCCCGCUGAAGGCAUGGAU